GUGUUUGCAUCCACAGCACACACGCUAGAAGUGCAGUGAUACAGAGAUUAGCAUGGCCCUUGUGCAAGGAUGUAACGCAAAUUCGUGAAGCGUCCCAUAAUUUU
This is a small nuclear RNA of Talpa occidentalis (Iberian mole), 104 nucleotides long. The record is from RefSeq and is a predicted model, not a curated record. Lineage: Eukaryota; Metazoa; Chordata; Mammalia; Eulipotyphla; Talpidae.